Molecule: ribosomal RNA, 427 nt
Filed under: uncultured bacterium
Lineage: Bacteria
Description: bacterial SSU rRNA
Rfam family: Bacterial small subunit ribosomal RNA
Source: RNAcentral
UGGGGAAUUUUGGACAAUGGGCGCAAGCCUGAUCCAGCAAUGCCGCGUGCAGGAUGAAGGCCUUCGGGUUGUAAACUGCUUUUGUACGGAACGAAAAAGCUCUCUCUAAUACAGGGGGUGAAUGACGGUACCGUAAGAAUAAGCACCGGCUAACUACGUGCCAGCAGCCGCGGUAAUACGUAGGGUGCAAGCGUUAAUCGGAAUUACUGGGCGUAAAGCGUGCGCAGGCGGUUUUGUAAGACAGAGGUGGAAUCCCCGGGCUCAACCUGGGAACUGCCUUUGUGACUGCAAAGCUGGAGUGCGGCAGAGGGGGAUGGAAUUCCGCGUGUAGCAGUGAAAUGCGUAGAUAUGCGGAGGAACACCGAUGGCGAAGGCAAUCCCCUGGGCCUGCACUGACGCUCAUGCACGAAAGCGUGGGGAGCAAACA